This 253-nucleotide ribosomal RNA is filed under the name uncultured bacterium. RNAcentral's name for it is "partial 16S ribosomal RNA". It matches the Rfam family "Bacterial small subunit ribosomal RNA", at positions 524 to 776 of the family's 1533-position model. The record is from RNAcentral.
UACGUAGGUGGCAAGCGUUGUCCGGAUUGACUGGGCGUAAAGCGCACGCAGGCGGUCGUGCACGUGGGGUGUGAAAACUGGCGGCUUAACUGCCAGAGGCCACCUCAUACGGCGCGACUCGAGCCCUGCAGAGGUCCAUGGAAUUGCCGGUGUAGUGGUGAAAUGCGUAGAGAUCGGCAGGAACACCCAGGGGGAAACCAGUGGACUGGGCAGGAGCUGACGCUCAGGUGCGAAAGCGUGGGGAGCGAACCGG